This 500-nucleotide ribosomal RNA is filed under the name uncultured bacterium. RNAcentral's name for it is "bacterial SSU rRNA". It matches the Rfam family "Bacterial small subunit ribosomal RNA", at positions 36 to 507 of the family's 1533-position model. The record is from RNAcentral.
AACAAACGACUGGCGGCGUGCCUAACACAUGCAAGUCGUACGAGAAAGUCGGCUUCGGCCGAUGAGUACAGUGGCGCACGGGUGAGGUAGCGCGUGGGUAAUCUCGCCCCCCGGUCAGGAAUAACCCGCCGAAAGGCGGGCUAAUACCCGAUAACACUGACGCUCCGCGGAGCGUCUUUCAAAGGAGGCCUCUGUUUACAAGCUUUCGCCGGAGGAUGAGCCCGCGUACCAUUAGCUAGUUGGCAGGGUAAUGGCCUACCAAGGCUGCGAUGGUUAGCUGGUCUGAGAGGAUGGCCAGCCACACUGGAACUGAGACACGGUCCAGACUCCUACGGGAGGCAGCAGUGAGGAAUAUUGGUCAAUGGGCGCGAGCCUGAACCAGCCACGUCGCGUGAAGGAUGACGGCCUUAUGGGUUGUAAACUUCUUUUACAGGGGAAUAAAGUGAGUCACGUGUGAUUUUUUGCAUGUACCCUGUGAAUAAGCAUCGGCUAACUCCGUG